GUGUCAGCCGCCGCGGUAAUACGAAUGGGGCAAGCGUUGUUCGGAUUUACUGGGCGUAAAGCGGGCGUAGGCGGCCGGCUAAGUCGGAUGCGAAAUCCCGGGGCUCAACUCCGGAACUGCAUUCGAUACUGGUCGGCUAGAGUUCGAGAGGGGGAUGCGGAAUUCCGCGUGUAGCAGUGAAAUGCGUAGAUAUGCGGAGGAACACCUGAGGCGAAGGCGGCAUCCUGGAUCGACACUGACGCUGAGGCCCGAAAGCGUGGGGAGCAAACAGGAUUAGAUACCCUGGUAGUCCACGCCCUAAACGAUGUCUACUAGCCGUUGCGGGUAUCGACCCCUGCAGUGCCGCAGCUAACGCGUUAAGCACCCCGCCUGGGGAGUACGGCCGCAAGGUUAAAACUCAAAGGAAUUGGCGGGG
This 415-nucleotide ribosomal RNA is filed under the name uncultured prokaryote. RNAcentral describes it as "bacterial SSU rRNA". It matches the Rfam family "Bacterial small subunit ribosomal RNA", at positions 505 to 918 of the family's 1533-position model. The record is from RNAcentral.